Molecule: small nuclear RNA, 105 nt
Filed under: Sorex araneus (European shrew)
Lineage: Eukaryota; Metazoa; Chordata; Mammalia; Eulipotyphla; Soricidae
Source: RNAcentral
AUACCCGCUGUGCAGCACAUAUACUAAAAUUGGAACGAUACAGAGAAGAUUAGCAUGGCCCCUGCAGCUACAAUACAUAGAAAGCAAAAAUAAUGAUAGAUCUGU